GAUGAAGAACGUAGCGAAAUGCGAUAAGUAAUGUGAAUUGCAGAAUUCAGUGAAUCAUCGAAUCUUUGAACGCACAUUGCGCCCGCUAGUAUUCUGGCGGGCAUGCCUGUCCGAGCGUCAUUUCAACCCUCAAGUCCCCGGGCUUGGUGUUGGGGAUCGGCGAGCCUCCGCGCCCGCCGUCCCCUAAAUCUAGUGGCGGUCUCGCUGUAGCUUCCUCUGCGUAGUAGCACACCUCGCACUGGGAAACAGCGCGGCCACGCCGUUAAACCCCCAACUUCUGAACGUUUGACCUCGGAUCAGGUAGGAAUACCCGCUGAACUUAAGCAUAUCAAUAAGCGGAGGA
This 343-nucleotide unclassified non-coding RNA is filed under the name soil metagenome. RNAcentral describes it as "partial contains 5.8S ribosomal RNA, internal transcribed spacer 2, and large subunit ribosomal RNA". The stretch from base 1 to 120 matches the Rfam family "5.8S ribosomal RNA", at positions 35 to 154 of the family's 154-position model. The record is from RNAcentral.